Bactrocera neohumeralis is the source of this 612-nucleotide long non-coding RNA. RefSeq lists it as uncharacterized. The transcript is spliced from 3 exons. The record is from RefSeq and is a predicted model, not a curated record. NCBI's taxonomy places the organism in Eukaryota, Metazoa, Arthropoda, Insecta, Diptera, Tephritidae.
UGCAAAAUUUCAGAUGCAUUAUUUAUAUUACUAUUGCUUUAUACUUGUUUUUCACUUUUUAUUAUGAUUUCAGUUACAGAACAACAAGCAUAAUAUUAAGUAGUACUUGGCAAUUGAUGAUGAAAGUCAGAAAAAACGCGUUUUUUUGUGCAUUGCUUUUAAGGGGCAUUCAAUUUAAUGCAUAAAUAAAAAAAUUGUGAAUUUACUGAAUUUAAAUGACUUAAAUAAUAAUUAUGAAAUUCAUUAUGAAAAAUUAUUAUUUUCCUUGAUCAUGUAGCCGAUCGCCAGAAAGGCUUCUGAAUAACGGUGUCCAGCGACAUUAGCGUCAGUUUAUAACUUCAUACAACUACAUGUAUGUGCAAGGCAUAACAGUGGUUAUUGGCAGCGAGCAACUCAAACUAUGCAAGCGCUCUUCAAACUGCAAAUUUUAGCGUGCCACAACAUAAUUAUGAGCAAAGUGGGAGCAAAGCGACUCGACAAACUAUGAAUGCAUGCACGCUCUACACAGUUUGCUGCGUAUAGCAGAAUUUCCAGCGCUAUCAGCUAUGUGUCUUACUUGUUUGCUUGCUAACCCUAAGUAAGCACUUGGAAAAGUUCAUUACCGGCCAUAAA